GUUUCUUUACCAGGAAUGGUGGAACCUUCUACAAAGCCUCACACUGCCUGUUUGGAGAAGAAAAGGCAACAUCGAACCCCGCCUUGUGGGUUUGUUACCCACUUGGGGACUCAUCCAGGAUCCGUUCCUCGUGGAUUGGUGGCCAAGGAGUGGGGAGAGACUUUAAAGGCUCUGUAGCAGCUGCCUGGCUGAGUUUCUGCAGAGGAGGCAUUUUUUUCAUGAGAUCUCUGUGAUUACUGAUCUGUCUGAUGGAUGAAGGAAAUGAUGAAGAUAAGAUAAAUAAAAUUCAAG
This is a long non-coding RNA of Lemur catta (Ring-tailed lemur), 291 nucleotides long. RefSeq lists it as uncharacterized. NCBI's taxonomy places the organism in Eukaryota, Metazoa, Chordata, Mammalia, Primates, Lemuridae. The transcript has 3 exons. The record is from RefSeq and is a predicted model, not a curated record.